Glossina fuscipes fuscipes is the source of this 46-nucleotide non-coding RNA. NCBI's taxonomy places the organism in Eukaryota, Metazoa, Arthropoda, Insecta, Diptera, Glossinidae. The record is from Rfam.
AUAUCGGACUUUUUAAAGUCCAUCAAAACAACUAUGCGUGCGACUU